Molecule: ribosomal RNA, 253 nt
Filed under: uncultured bacterium
Lineage: Bacteria
Description: partial 16S ribosomal RNA
Rfam family: Bacterial small subunit ribosomal RNA
Source: RNAcentral
UACGAAGGGUGCUAGCGUUGUUCGGAAUCACUGGGCGUAAAGCGCGCGUAGGCGGCUAUUCAAGUCAGGGGUGAAAUCCUUGGGCUCAACCCAAGAAUUGCCUUUGAAACUGUAUAGCUAGAGUGUCGGAGGGGAUAGCGGAAUUGCUAAUGUAGAGGUGAAAUUCGUAGAUAUUAGCAGGAACACCGGUGGCGAAGGCGGCUAUCUGGACGACAACUGACGCUGAGGCGCGAAAGCGUGGGGAUCAAACAGG